CCUACGGGAGGCUGCAGUAAGGAAUAUUGGACAAUGGGCGCAAGCCUGAUCCAGCCAUGCCGCGUGCAGGAUGACGGCCCUAUGGGUUGUAAACUGCUUUUAUACGGGAAAAAACCCCUCUACGUGUAGAGGGCUGAUGGUACCGUAAGAAUAAGGAUCGGCUAACUCCGUGCCAGCAGCCGCGGUAAUAAGGAGGAUCCCGGCGUUAUCCGGUUUUAUUGGGGCUAAGGGGUGCUUAUAAGGAUGUGUUGAAAUCCUGCAGCUUAACUGUAGAACUGCCAUUGAUACUGCAAGUCUUGAGUACAUAUGAUGUGGGCGGAAUGUGUAGUGUAGCGGUGAAAUGCUUAGAUAUUACACAGAACACCAAUUGCGAAGGCAGCUCACAAAACUGUAACUGACGCUGAGGCACGAAAGCGUGGGGAGUGAACAGGAUUAGAUACCCGAGUAGUC
RNAcentral lists this ribosomal RNA (450 nucleotides) under uncultured bacterium. RNAcentral describes it as "partial 16S ribosomal RNA". It matches the Rfam family "Bacterial small subunit ribosomal RNA", at positions 338 to 795 of the family's 1533-position model. The record is from RNAcentral.